This is a transfer RNA of 84 nucleotides. It matches the Rfam family "tRNA". Rfam says of the family: Transfer RNA (tRNA) molecules are approximately 80 nucleotides in length. Their secondary structure includes four short double-helical elements and three loops (D, anti-codon, and T loops).
GGGUCUCUAUCCAAAUUGGUGAAGGAAGCAGACUGUAAAUCUGUGACAUUAGAAACGCUGCUGGUUCGAAUCCAGGGGGGCCCA